AGUGAACGCUGGCGGUAGGCCUAACACAUGCAAGUCGAACGGCAGCACAGUAAGAGCUUGCUCUUACGGGUGGCGAGUGGCGGACGGGUGAGGAAUACAUCGGAAUCUACUUUUUCGUGGGGGAUAACGUAGGGAAACUUACGCUAAUACCGCAUACGACCUACGGGUGAAAGCAGGGGAUCUUCGGACCUUGCGCGAUUGAAUGAGCCGAUGUCGGAUUAGCUAGUUGGCGGGGUAAAGGCCCACCAAGGCGACGAUCCGUAGCUGGUCUGAGAGGAUGAUCAGCCACACUGGAACUGAGACACGGUCCAGACCCCUACGGGAGGCAGCAGUGGGGAAUAUUGGACAAUGGGCGCAAGCCUGAUCCAGCCAUACCGCGUGGGUGAAGAAGGCCUUCGGGUUGUAAGCCCUUUUGUUGGGAAAGAAAAGCAGCAGGUUAAUACCCCGCUGUUCUGACGGUACCCAAAGAAUAAGCACCGGCUAACUUCGUG
Molecule: ribosomal RNA, 491 nt
Filed under: uncultured bacterium
Lineage: Bacteria
Description: partial 16S ribosomal RNA
Rfam family: Bacterial small subunit ribosomal RNA
Source: RNAcentral